This 497-nucleotide ribosomal RNA is filed under the name uncultured bacterium. Its description in RNAcentral is "partial 16S ribosomal RNA". It matches the Rfam family "Bacterial small subunit ribosomal RNA", at positions 28 to 507 of the family's 1533-position model. The record is from RNAcentral.
GAUGAACGCUGGCGGCGUGCCUAAUACAUGCAAGUCGAGCGAACAGACGAGGAGCUUGCUCCUCUGACGUUAGCGGCGGACGGGUGAGUAGCACGUGGAUAACCUACCUAUAAGACUGGGAUAACUUCGGGAAACCGGAGCUAAUACCGGAUAAUAUAUUGAACCGCAUGGUUCAAUAGUGAAAGACGGUUUUGCUGUCACUUAUAGAUGGAUCCGCGCCGCAUUAGCUAGUUGGUAAGGUAACGGCUUACCAAGGCGACGAUGCGUAACCGACCUGAGAGGGUGAUCGGCCACACUGGAACUGAGACACGGUCCAGACUCCUACGGGAGGCAGCAGUAGGGAAUCUUCCGCAAUGGGCGAAAGCCUGACGGAGCAACGCCGCGUGAGUGAUGAAGGUCUUCGGAUCGUAAAACUCUGUUAUUAGGGAAGAACAAAUGUGUAAGUAACUAUGCACGUCUUGACGGUACCUAAUCAGAAAGCCACGGCUAACUACGUG